CCCCCUGUAGCUCAGUCGGUAGAGCAGCAGCCUUUUAAGCUGACGGUCGAAGGUUCGAGCCCUUCCGGGGGGA
RNAcentral lists this transfer RNA (73 nucleotides) under Patescibacteria group bacterium. RNAcentral describes it as "tRNA-Lys". It matches the Rfam family "tRNA". Rfam says of the family: Transfer RNA (tRNA) molecules are approximately 80 nucleotides in length. The record is from RNAcentral.